Oenanthe melanoleuca is the source of this 1259-nucleotide long non-coding RNA. RefSeq lists it as uncharacterized. The transcript is spliced from 6 exons. Lineage: Eukaryota; Metazoa; Chordata; Aves; Passeriformes; Muscicapidae. The record is from RefSeq and is a predicted model, not a curated record.
UGAAGUCAGAUCCAGUCUUUUCCUUGCACCCAGGCAUGAGACUGUGUCACCUCAGGGUCACCCAUUUGUGGUGUGAUGCUGCUGAAGUGCCACCAGAACCUGAUGUGACCCUGGCCAGAUUAUAGCAGGAAAAAAAUCCCAAACUGUCCUGGGCUUGAAAGCAACACAAAAUCCUCCAGCUACUGAAUUCAGGCGUCCCAGUUUACUCUGAUUGUCCUGAUUUUGUAUUUUUUUCUGUAUUCAACAACUUUCCAUUGGAUGUAGAAGUGAUCUGAGAUGGAUAGGGGAAUACUGAAGAAUCUGGAAACACCACACAUCAGCACUUGCUGGAAGCACUGGAUGUAUCCCCACUGCUUUCUCCCCCAUUCCUGUGGAGGAGGAGGAGGAUGGAUAGCACAUCCAGCCUUCAGGUGGCUGCUGAUAUGACAUGUACAACUUCAGACAUUUAUGUGAGCACCCAGAAUAACAGGAUAAAGUUGGCAACAACCUGAGGUGAUCUUGCCCAUAAACCACCUAACCACUGCCCUGCAGUUUCUAAGAGUUUUUGCCACUGUGGUGCACAGAAGUGGAAUGGAAACAAAAUACAGAGGCAAUGUCCACCAAAUCUUGGUGGUUGAGGAACUGCUGAACACCUUCAUGGACAGGACUGGGAUACAGAAGAGCUUCUUCAACAGGAUGUGACUGGUUAGACUGAACAUGAGAGCAGAGGUUUCCCCAGGAUCUUCAGAUGUGAGCCUCAAGCUUUGUGCAAAACAUCAAGAUCAGCAACUUCCAUUGGAGGGGGAACACUUGGCCAUCACAAUACACAGGACUGUGAUGUACAAAGCAACCCUGAUGCAAAUUUACUUAGCAUCAAGGAUCCCUAGGAAAAAAAAAAAAAAAUAGCAGCAAGAAAAAGACUUUUCAAAGCAGCUUUGAUGGGCCCUGGCACCGCGUGUGAAAGUCUAGCUCAGUUCUAAGACUGCCAGGAUGAGGAAACUGAGACACUGUGAAAUUAAAAGCUUUGGGAAAUUAGUGCACAGUAAAUUACGGUGCGAAUUUACUGUGUACCAACCACCCUGCACAAACUCAUCAUGUGGACUGGCAAAGAAAAAGGAUUAAAUUCCCUUAAAUUAUCUCACAUUUGCCAUGGACAGACAGUUACCAUGGAUCAGCUGAAAUGCAGCAACUUCUCAACCCACAGCAAGUCACUCGUGCAGUGAAUCCCCCCAUCAGAGAGGAGCUGUUCACAGGGGCUCUGCUACUACUCUGCUCCAACU